Molecule: ribosomal RNA, 473 nt
Filed under: uncultured bacterium
Lineage: Bacteria
Description: SSU rRNA
Rfam family: Bacterial small subunit ribosomal RNA
Source: RNAcentral
AGGACGAACGCUGGCGGCGUGCUUAACACAUGCAAGUCGAGCGGAAAGGCCCUUCGGGGUACUCGAGCGGCGAACGGGUGAGUAACACGUGAGCAACCUGCCCUUAGCUCUGGGAUAGCUCCGGGAAACCGGAAUUAAUACCGGAUAUGACCUAGGCCGACAUCGGCCGUGGUGGAAAGUUUUUCGGCUAGGGAUGGACUCGCGGCCUAUCAGCUAGUUGGUGGGGUAAUGGCCUACCAAGGCGACGACGGGUAGCCGGCCUGAGAGGGCGACCGGCCACACUGGGACUGAGACACGGCCCAGACUCCUACGGGAGGCAGCAGUGGGGAAUCUUGCGCAAUGGGCGAAAGCCUGACGCAGCGACGCCGCGUGGGGGAUGAAGGCCUUCGGGUUGUAAACCCCUUUCAGCAGGGACGAAGCGAAGUGACGGUACCUGCAGAAGAAGCGCCGGCUAACUACGUGCCAGCAGCCGC